GAGUGACUAGCUACCUGAAUCAAUCUACAUUUAAUAUAUUGAUUGAUAACGUAAGGGAAAAAUAAAAGAUAUUACCUUACUAAUAGUGUCGUCCAAAGCUGGUGCCAGAAGACUCGGUAAGGCCAGAGACGCAAACGUUAGUCGUCUUAAUCAGGCGUAAAGGGUUUGUAGGCUGCUUUAAAAUUUUCCUUUUUUAUAUAGCUCUAAUUAUAAAAAUAAGUAUUCAAUGUACUAUUAAUAAAAAUAAGUUUUAAAGGGGAAAAAUAAAAGCUAGAAUCAAAUAGAGGAUAUAUUAAAUAAUGCUUAGAAUAGGGCUGAUAUCCAUAGAUAUUAAGUAGAAUAUUAACGGCGAAAGCUUUUUUUCCAAUAAUGAUUGACGCUGAGAAACGAAGGUGAGGAUAGGAAAUAGGAUUAGAUACCCAAAAUACCCCUCUCUGUCAACGAUGAAUGGUGGUUACUAAUAAUGAAUUAUUGGUGGCGAUGUUAACACGAUAACCAUUCCGCCUUGUGAGUACGACUGCAAAGUUGAAAACAAAAAAAUUAGUCGGUCUCGAAGCAAACGAAGUGAAGCAUGUUAUAUUUUUAAAAA
This 589-nucleotide ribosomal RNA is filed under the name Artomyces yunnanensis. RNAcentral's name for it is "Artomyces sp. JD-2023b partial small subunit ribosomal RNA". It matches the Rfam family "Bacterial small subunit ribosomal RNA", at positions 410 to 958 of the family's 1533-position model. Lineage: Eukaryota; Fungi; Basidiomycota; Agaricomycetes; Russulales; Auriscalpiaceae. The record is from RNAcentral.